Molecule: ribosomal RNA, 253 nt
Filed under: uncultured bacterium
Lineage: Bacteria
Description: partial 16S ribosomal RNA
Rfam family: Bacterial small subunit ribosomal RNA
Source: RNAcentral
UACGGGGGGGGCAAGCGUUGUUCGGAAUUACUGGGCGUAAAGGGUUUGUAGGUGGCCUGCUAAGUCAGACGUGAAAUCCCUCAGCUUAACUGGGGAACUGCGUCUGAGACUGGUAGGCUCGAGGACAGGAGAGGAACGCGGAAUUCCAGGUGUAGCGGUGAAAUGCGUAGAUAUCUGGAGGAACACCGGUGGCGAAGGCGGCAUCCUGGACCGAUACUGACGCUGAGGAGCGAAAGCCAGGGGAGCAAACGGG